This 3519-nucleotide long non-coding RNA is filed under the name Sus scrofa (pig). RNAcentral describes it as "lncRNA (ENSSSCG00005018950.1)". Lineage: Eukaryota; Metazoa; Chordata; Mammalia; Artiodactyla; Suidae. The record is from RNAcentral.
ACUGAGGGAAGAAUGUUAGUAACAAAGUGUUUUUGUCAGUGUUUAUUUAGGUCUAUAUUUCUGGCUAUAUCUUGUAUGGCUGAGGUCACUGGUUGAAGGAGAUAUUUUGUAUUUACCUGGUAAUUUAUAUUUACCUUAGCAUUACUAAACCAUGAGCUCCUAUUAGAUUUGGGCUUUUUGAAUUUAGAGUCUCUGUGCCCCCUCCCCCCCUUUACUCCUAAUGCCUGGCAUGGUGCCUAUACAAAGUGGGAAUUCUCUAGUUUUUGAAUACCAUUCUCCUUAUGAAAAUUAGGUAAGAUUUAACAUAUCUUAUUGGCAGCGCAGAUUUCAAAAAGCUCUAAAAACGGACCAUUUUUUAAAGCAAGCAUGAUGGCACAUUCCACCUGAAAUUGGUAGUCUAAUCAUAGUCUAUCUGUCAUAACCCGAUUUUCCAUUUUGAUGCAGAAAUAUUAAUGUAUUUGAUUGCAGGUGCUACCCAGGCUACCCUGGGAGAGGUUAGAUCAUUUUUGUUUUUGUUUUUUUUGUUGUUGUUUUUUGGGGGGGGUGGGGUUGAGAUAUAGAAGUCAAAACAGUAAAUGACUCCCAGAAUUGUGUUUAGUGGAGAUACUAACAUUUUCUAUAAGAUCUCAGGAAUGUCUCAUUUGCCUGUGUAUUUUUCAGAGAUUUUUAAUGACUAAAAGCUACUAAAGAUACAGAGAGUGUUUUGUUUUUUUUUUUUAAGAUAAUUUGUUCUAAUACUCAGGACACCACUUUUUUUUCUCUGCUUCUACUGAAUUAAAAUGUCUUAUGUGAAAGUAGGUGAGAAUGUGCACAUAGUACAUAUUUACUUUGCCAAGGAAAGAUGAAAUAAGCAAGAGGAAAUUCUGUGUUCUGACAGUUUAGUAGACAGUGAGUAGACUUGCCUUUUUCCAAACAUUGAUAUACCAUUUUUCUAUUUAGAUAUUUGGAUGUUGAAACGUAACUCCAUUUUGUAUCAACACCUGGACAGAAUGUAAUGAUUGAUUUUGUAAUGCAUUGUGUUUGGGAGAGGAACAUUUGGUUUUGUGUCAUAUCUGGCAGGAAUGUGUUUUUGUGUUACUGUUUACAUUAAAUUUCAAUGCUUGCUCUACAUUCAAAUUUUGUACUUAAUUUUCUGUUUGUAAAAGAGUCUUUCAUAGAUUGGUAAAAUAAUAGUAUGCAGUAAAUUUAUCAUGCUGUACAAAGGACCUCAUUCUUUUUGGCUUAAUUUUACUACUUAAUACCUUAAAAAUGCUUCACAGCUUGCUAAGCACUUUCCUGUUACACUAUAAUAACUUUAUAUAGUUGUCAUUUUGAUGUUAAGUUUUACAGCAAGGUUAGGAGUUCCCACUCUGGUACAGUGAGUUACAAAUCUAACUUAGGCAGCUCAGGUGGCUGCAGAAGCACAGGUUUGAUCCCAGGCUUGGUGCAGUGUGUCAAAGGAUCCCAUAUUGCUGCAGCUGUGGUAUAGGUUGCAGCUCCAGCUCAGAUUCAGUCCCUGGCCUAGGAAUUUCCAUAUCCUGUGAGUGUGGCCAUUUAAAAAAAAGAAAAGUUAAGUUUUAAAAUUAACAUAAAGAUGGAAAAAUCAAACCCUUUUUGUAAGAAAAUUAGUAAUUGGGAAUUUUGGAGGCCAUUUUAUCCUUAGAUUUGAGUUAACAUGUAAUGUCUUUCUCAGUUUAAUGCUACUCUAUAGGAAAAAUCCUAAUAUAUUGAAUUAAGUAGGUAUAAAUUAAGUCAGCAUAAUUUAAUUAAAUUAAUAUGGAAGUUCAAAAGACAAGUAGUAGGAAAUUUGUGUCAAGGUUGACUUUCUGGCAAAAUACAACAGCUGCUCACAUUUUUAAAGUGUAAACAUAGGAGUUCCUGUUGUGGCUCAGUGGUUAAGGAACUUGACUAGCAUCCAUGAGGACGCUGGUUUGAUCCUUGGCUUUGCUCAGUGGGUUAAGGAUACUGUGUUGCUGUGAGUUGUGGUGUAGGUCUCAGAUGCAGCUCGGAUCCCUCACUGCUAUGGCUGUGGCGUAGGCCAGCAACUACAGCUCCGAUUGGAUCCCUGGCCUGGGAGCCUCCAUGUGGCACGGGUGUGGCCCUAAAAAGACAAAAAAAGAGAGAAAAAAGUAAACAUAUUUAUCCAGAAACAAAAACUUUAAGUAAUAGUACUGUGUUAUAAUGAGAGUAAGCAAUAAUAUAUCACAGGUACACAUUUUACAGAUUUAUUUAUUAUCGCACCAUUAUUUUUUGAGGAGUCGUUUGUCUUGAUUUAGGAGUGCACAAAAUAGUGUUUUGGGGGUGUUUUUAUAAUUUUAUGUAUGUCUGGCCUUGUAAAAAAUCAGAGCUAUUUAGAACCUUUCUCAUCUGUGCACACUCAAGAGAAGUUGUACAUAGUUUAUAGACAUGUCAGGCCAAACUUUGAAGUCUGGCAAAAUUGUUUAACCUGAUACAGCAGUCUCCAAAGUUUAAAUUUGAUAUAUGAUGCAUUUUUGUGUUCUGUAUGUUUGUGACUUACGCAUCCUAAGACAUAUAUAUGUAUAAAACAAUUGUAGUCCAGUGCUUCAGGGGAUUUGACCUCUGACUGCUGUUGAGAUGUUUCAGAGCAUAGUUUAAAAACCUCUAGUCUCAGUGUAGAGUUGCUUCCAACCUAAAAUUCUAUGUUUUAAAAAUAUCAAGGAGUUCCCGUCGUGGCGCAGUGGUUAACGAAUCCGACUAGGAACCAUGAGGUUGCGGGUUCGAUCCCUGCCCUUGCUCAGUGGGUUAACGAUCCGACGUUGCCGUGAGCUGUGGUGUAGGUUGCAGACGCGGCUCGGAUCCUGCGUUGCUGUGCCUCUGGCGUAGGCCGGUGGCUACAGCUCCGAUUCCACCCCUAGCCUGGGAACCUCCAUAUGCCGCGGGAGCGGCCCAAGAAAUAGCAACAAAACAACAAAAAAAAAAUAAAAAUAAAAAUAAAAAAAAAUAAAAAUAUCGACUUUUUCUUCUUUCUGAAGAUACAAAGUUCAUAGAAUUGACUUGUUUUUGAGUCGCAUUUGGAUAUAAAUUGUUUACGUUUAAAUUUUAGGUCCUACUGGCUGAAUAUUUGCCUUCUACAUUUUCAAGUGAAUUCUUUAAUAAUUUGAGUGUUUAUUCUCUUCUAGACCUUGUUGUAAAUGCUGGGUAUAUAUCAUGGUAAACAAGACAAGUCUUCGCCUUCAUAGAACUAACAUCUUAGAGGAGGAGACAGAUAACAAUUUCAAAGGGCGGCAAUUGUGAUGAUGAAAAUAAAGGGGGAAACGGUAUAACAACUGGUUAGGGAUAGAAGGAGGGGAAUUCGUUUAAGUAAGUAGGAUGAUGAGAGGAAGACCUCUGGAGGUGGCUUUUGAGCAGAAACUGAAAAAGGAGAACACCAUGCAAAAAUCUGGGUGAAUUUUUUUCCCGGGCAGAAAGAAUAGAAGACUCUGAAAUGAAGUCAAAUUUUUCAUGUUUGAUGAAAACAAAGAAUUUCGUCAGUAGUGACUUACUGCUUUCUACAUAAAUAGGGGUAAACUUUAAAGGGAA